RNAcentral lists this unclassified non-coding RNA (310 nucleotides) under plant metagenome. RNAcentral describes it as "partial contains 5.8S ribosomal RNA, internal transcribed spacer 2, and large subunit ribosomal RNA". The stretch from base 1 to 105 matches the Rfam family "5.8S ribosomal RNA", at positions 50 to 154 of the family's 154-position model. The record is from RNAcentral.
GAAAUGCGAUAAGUAUUGUGAAUUGCAGAAUUCAGUGAAUCAUCGAAUCUUUGAACGCACAUUGCGCCCGCCAGUAUUCUGGCGGGCAUGCCUGUUCGAGCGUCAUUUCAACCAUCAAGCCCCCGGGCUUGUGUUGGGGACCUGCGGCUGCCGCAGGCCCCGAAAACCAGUGGCGGGCUCGCUGUCACACCGGGCGUAGUAGAUUUUUCGUCUCGCCCAGGGCGUGCUGCGGGUUCCGGCCGUUAAAAAGCCUCUCUUUUUAACCCAAGGUUGACCUCGGAUCAGGUAGGAAGACCCGCUGAACUUAAGC